This is a small nucleolar RNA of Manis pentadactyla (Chinese pangolin), 135 nucleotides long. RefSeq annotates it as small nucleolar RNA SNORA5. The record is from RefSeq and is a predicted model, not a curated record. The transcript has a single exon. NCBI's taxonomy places the organism in Eukaryota, Metazoa, Chordata, Mammalia, Pholidota, Manidae.
UGCAGUCAAGUCAAAUUCAGCCCCAUUCUGUGGUGGCCGGGGCUGGCCCAGAUGGCUGCCACAGUGAGCUCCACAGCCCAUGGGCCCCAGGUCCCCUGCCCUGGGACCUGGGGAUAAGUUCGGCUGCAGACAUGG